This 322-nucleotide ribosomal RNA is filed under the name uncultured eukaryote. RNAcentral describes it as "partial 18S ribosomal RNA". It matches the Rfam family "Eukaryotic small subunit ribosomal RNA", at positions 1470 to 1796 of the family's 1831-position model. The record is from RNAcentral.
CCCUUAGAUGUUCUGGGCCGCACGCGUGCUACACUGAGUGGAUCAGCGGGUCAGGUUGCGCGAAAGUGUUUCCUAAUCUUGAAAUCCGCUCGUGAUGGGGAUUGACGGUUGCAAUUUUCCGUCAUGAACGAGGAAUACCUUGUAAGCGCGGGUCAUCAUCCCGCGCUGAAUACGUCCCUGCCCUUUGUACACACCGCCCGUCGCUCCUACCGAUUGAGUGGUCCGGUGAGGCUUUGGGAUCUGAGCGGAAAGAGCGUUUCGCUGUUUCUGCUCGGAAAACUCAGUCGAACCUUAUCAUUUAGAGGAAGGAGAAGUCGUAUCA